UGAACAUUCCAGGCUCUGUGAACUAAGUGACUGAAGCUGAUUGACACAGGUCAAGGGGACUUCAAGGAAGAAAGCCAGCCUUAGACUGACAUCAGAGAACCAAACUCCGGUGUCUAAGCUCAAGAGGUUAGAAUCCUGAGAACUGUUUGGAAUAAGGAAUCCAAAUAUUGUCUUCCAGCUUCACCUUGUCACGACAGUCCUCGCCAGGGACAGCUGAGCCUUGCGUGGAUGAAACAGUCCCAACGAACACUUUAAAAAGACAAAUGUUCCCGACAGCACUGGUUGAAUUCAAAACUCGGCAGAUCCAUGUUCUUAUCCUUAGACAAGAGAGGGGCCAUAACAAGAUGGAAUGACGGAACAGACGUGAGAGAUGAUGGUACAGUGACUCGGGUAACCCCAGAAAAGGGACAGCUCUUCUACAGCUCAGUGGGGACAGGGACAAAAAGAAACAAUUUCAUUUCAGUCCACCCAGAGGGUCUGCACUUCUCGGAGCCAGAAGGUGGAGAAGAGUAGGGAUGGAGGAAGUUCGAAGUUUUAGGAGUCUGCUCUUGGGUCCCUAGGCAUGAGGACAAGCUUUUCCUGUACUCAAUGCUCAUCUCUCAGUUGUGCCCACAUUGGUACACAUUACUUGCUUUCAACUGCUGCUGCUGCUGUUUCCUAAUUCAAUAAAGAUAUGGCUGGCUCAGCAGAGAGCUGUCAUCCA
This 703-nucleotide long non-coding RNA is filed under the name Mus musculus (house mouse). Its description in RNAcentral is "predicted gene 29154, transcript variant 8 (Gm29154)". The record is from RNAcentral. Lineage: Eukaryota; Metazoa; Chordata; Mammalia; Rodentia; Muridae.